Molecule: long non-coding RNA, 1436 nt
Organism: Oncorhynchus keta (chum salmon)
Lineage: Eukaryota; Metazoa; Chordata; Actinopteri; Salmoniformes; Salmonidae
Exons: 3
Source: RefSeq, a predicted model, not a curated record
CAGGAAGUAGUAGCAUUUGAGUCUCCUGACCAAACGUUCUCCCUCUUUUUCUGUAUCAUAUUGUCCUGAGCCCUAGGACCAUGCCUCAGGACUACCUGGCAUGAUGACUCCUUGCUGUCCCCAGUCCACCUGGCCGUGCUGCUGCUCCAGUUUCAACUGUUCUGCCUGCGGCUAUGGAAUCCUGACCUGUUCACUGGACGUGCUACCUGUCCCGGACCUGCUGUUUUCAACUCUUUAGAGACAGCAGUCACAAGGAAGAGGGAAGCAGUCGCUGACAAGGUGGAGAAAAUUGAGGCCUUUACUAGGAAGCUUGAGUUGUUGGAUUUGGACUUGUCAUCUGGAAGGCUACUGCACUUCAGCACACUGAAGAAACGGCAGGCAGAGGGACCAGGCCGAGGGACCAGAGGGACCAGGCCGCAGCAUCGUCACAGAGCUGAUGGAACAUUUAAUAAAGCAGCUGAGGGACAACGUAUCCACCAGAUUUGAAGACCACACGCCCAAGGACAUCAUUGUGUUUGUACGUGAUCCUCUCACAGUCCGCCCAGGUGGAGAAUUCUCCUCCCUUGCUAAGAAAGCGAUACCCUCGCUGGAUGAGGUUUUUUUAAAUGUAACCUUUAUUUUACAAAAUGCCUCCAGCUGUCCAUCACUACUGUAAAUAAAAACACAGAAUAUCUAAGGGGCUUUUAUUUAAAUAUAAUGCAGGGUUAAUAAUAAUAAUAAUUUUAACCCCUUCCACUUGCUAAAGGUUCCAAUUGAUCUUUUUUUGUUAAAUCAAUUAGUAUAUUUGAGUUUAACCACAAUAUUUGUUGUAUUAUUUGUUCUGUCUUUUCUGAUGGGUUAAACUGAAAUUGCAACCAACUUCCUAUGGCUUGUUACUUUGGAGAUGAUUUUGUUUUCAAAUAACCCGAAAGUGAGCGAUUGUCACCAUAGAAAGAAGCUGGCUUGAUGAAAACGAUGUCCAUUUUGUCUGUUCUCUUCGCAAUGUCAUUUUUUUUCCAGAUAAACAGCUCAUUUUUUUUCCAGAUAAACAGCUCAUUUUUGAAUGGUAACUGUGUUAAGGGUGGAGUUUGGGGCAGGGUGAGGAGUACUGGAAAGGUGUGACUUUCAGUUUACAAUAGGCCAUAAGUAUACAGCAGAUCGCAGAUUGUCCUCACUUUGAUUAUGCUGUAACAACAUACUGUAGCACCAUGACCAGGAUCUCUAAUCAUUUAAGUGAGCAGAUUAGGGCUUUCAGGAGGAACGGAAAAUCUACUGGAGACAUUUAAAAAAAUACUGGUAGCCUUGGGGAUUUUGGUCACGGACAGUGCUAUUUGCAAACACUAUCAUCAGAUGUCUGUGUUACGUCGAACGGGAAAGCCCGGGAAAAUGAUCAGGUACAGUAGGCUACAAUACUGUAGGCCUAAUAAUGGUUAAAUAAAUCGACUGCUGGUCUUUAA